GGAGACGUACCGAAGAGGCCAUAACGGGACUGACUCGAAAUCAGUUUGUCGGAUUUACCCGGCACAUGGGUUCGAAUCCCAUCGUCUCCG
This 90-nucleotide transfer RNA is filed under the name Frisingicoccus caecimuris. It matches the Rfam family "tRNA". Rfam says of the family: Transfer RNA (tRNA) molecules are approximately 80 nucleotides in length. Their secondary structure includes four short double-helical elements and three loops (D, anti-codon, and T loops). The record is from Rfam by way of RNAcentral. RNAcentral also lists the same sequence under 1 other name. Lineage: Bacteria; Bacillati; Bacillota; Clostridia; Lachnospirales; Lachnospiraceae.